GAUGAAGAACGCAGCGAAAUGCGAUACUUGGUGUGAAUUGCAGAAUCCCGUGAACCAUCGAGUCUUUGAACGCAAGUUGCGCCUCAAGCCAUUAGGUUGAGGGCACGUCUGCCUGGGCGUCACAUAUCGUUGCCUGAUGCCAGUUUCCUCGUGAUGGGUGACUGUGCAGGGCGAAUGAUGGCUUCCCGUGAGCAUUGUUGCCUCAUGGUUGGUUGAAAAUUGAGUCCUUGGUAGGGAGCGCCGUGAUAGAUGGUGGUUGAGUGACGAACGAGACCCAAUCAUGUGAGACUCCUACCGAAUUUGGCCUUCAUGACCCACAUGCGUCUUUGGAACGCUCAUGACGAGACCUCAGGUCAGGCGGGGCUACCCGCUGAGUUUAAGCAUAUCAAUAAGCGGAGGA
RNAcentral lists this unclassified non-coding RNA (400 nucleotides) under soil metagenome. RNAcentral describes it as "partial contains 5.8S ribosomal RNA, internal transcribed spacer 2, and large subunit ribosomal RNA". The stretch from base 1 to 122 matches the Rfam family "5.8S ribosomal RNA", at positions 35 to 154 of the family's 154-position model. The record is from RNAcentral.